GGUUUUGAUAAGGUGAAAAGAAUAGUCAC
RNAcentral lists this non-coding RNA (29 nucleotides) under Homo sapiens (human). Lineage: Eukaryota; Metazoa; Chordata; Mammalia; Primates; Hominidae. The record is from RNAcentral.